This is a long non-coding RNA of Maylandia zebra (zebra mbuna), 427 nucleotides long. RefSeq lists it as uncharacterized. The record is from RefSeq and is a predicted model, not a curated record. NCBI's taxonomy places the organism in Eukaryota, Metazoa, Chordata, Actinopteri, Cichliformes, Cichlidae.
UCACUUCACAGUUUAAAGUGUUUUUUUAAAAAGUAAAAGAAAACCACCCGAAACACUUAUUUCAGUGUAAUUCCGUGUCUGACACAUUCAGGUAAAAGUGCGUAACCUCCUCACAGCUUCCUGUCCUCCCCCCUCCCUGCUGCAGAGGUGGGCCGUUCCCUCUGCUCUGCUCCUGUGUGGGACGAACCAUGUGAGAGCUGCGGGGGUGCUGCUGCUCUGCUGCGUCAGACCACCUGCUGAGGCUGCGGCUGACAUGACUGAACACAGAUCAGAUCCUCCUCCGUCCUUCAGGCUCCGUCAUGUUCGACUCGCUGUAACACACUGACGGCAGACAGCUGCAGCUGCUGUGCACAGGAGCACCAACUUUCAACGAUGCAGAUUUCUGUGUCUGAAUAAAACCAGAGAAAGAUUUAAACUGGAGUUUCAC